RNAcentral lists this non-coding RNA (26 nucleotides) under Mus musculus (house mouse). Lineage: Eukaryota; Metazoa; Chordata; Mammalia; Rodentia; Muridae. The record is from RNAcentral.
UUCUACUCCUAACCUGAUGCAGGACU